Molecule: ribosomal RNA, 405 nt
Filed under: uncultured bacterium
Lineage: Bacteria
Description: partial 16S ribosomal RNA
Rfam family: Bacterial small subunit ribosomal RNA
Source: RNAcentral
AUUGAACGCUAGCGGGAUGCCUUACACAUGCAAGUCGAACGAGGGGAGAAAGGGUGAGUAAUGUAUCGGAAGGUGGCCAGUAGCGGGGGAUAACUACGCGAAACGUAGCUAAUACCGCAUACUAUUGGAGCGGCCGAUAUCGGAUUAGAUAGUUUGUGGGGUAACGUCUCACCAAGGCGACGAUCCGUAGCGGGUUUUCGAGGACGACCAGCCACUCUGCGACUGCAGCACGGCCCAGACUCCUUCGUGUGGCAGCAGUGGUGAAUUUUGGACAAUUGGGGAAGCCCUGUCCCAGCCAUCCCGCGUGUGCGAUGUGGUCCUUCGGGUUGUCAAGCACUUUUAGCAGGAAAGCGGUACCUGCUGUAUAAGCACCGGCUAACUACGUGCCAGCAGCCGCGGUAAUUC